This 497-nucleotide ribosomal RNA is filed under the name uncultured bacterium. Its description in RNAcentral is "partial 16S ribosomal RNA". It matches the Rfam family "Bacterial small subunit ribosomal RNA", at positions 28 to 507 of the family's 1533-position model. The record is from RNAcentral.
GAUGAACGCUGGCGGCGUGCCUAAUACAUGCAAGUCGAGCGAACAGACGAGGAGCUUGCUCCUCUGACGUUAGCGGCGGACGGGUGAGUAACACGUGGAUAACCUACCUAUAAGACUGGGAUAACUUCGGGAAACCGGAGCUAAUACCGGAUAAUAUAUUGAACCGCAUGGUUCAAUAGUGAAAGACGGUUUUGCUGUCACUUAUAGAUGGAUCCGCGCCGCAUUAGCUAGUUGGUAAGGUAACGGCUUACCAAGGCGACGAUGCGUAGCCGACCUGAGAGGGUGAUCGGCCACACUGGAACUGAGACACGGUCCAGACUCCUACGGGAGGAAGCAGUAGGGAAUCUUCCGCAAUGGGCGAAAGCAUGACGGAGCAACGCCGCGUGAGUGAUGAAGGUCUUCGGAUCGUAAAACUCUGUUAUUAGGGAAGAACAAAUGUGUAAGUAACUAUGCACGACUUGACGGUACCUAAUCAGAAAGCCACGGCUAACUACGUG